This is a long non-coding RNA of Triticum urartu, 1561 nucleotides long. RefSeq lists it as uncharacterized. Lineage: Eukaryota; Viridiplantae; Streptophyta; Magnoliopsida; Poales; Poaceae. The record is from RefSeq and is a predicted model, not a curated record.
CCCUACCUCCCGAUCCCAUCUCAACCUCCAGCUUCCAGCGCGUCGCCACCCUCCCCCCGUCGCAUGCGUCGCCACCCUCCCCCCGUCGCAUGCGUCGCCACCGACGCCGCGGCCGUUGGAAGCUCCCCCGCUCAUGCUACUAUGGUGCCGCAAAGACAAACCAGAAUGCCUACGACCCCGACUCCCUCCCGCGCCGUCGCCGCCCUUUGCGGCACCACCCCGGCAGCCCCUACCACCGACGACCACCACAGGUCAUGGUCGACCGCGCCGCCGCCCCUGGUCGAUCCAAACGCCGCGGUGGAUAACGGGCUGCUGUGGUGAUGCACCGGGGUGUAGCGCAGCUCGGCGGCCUGGCUGUUUUGGUGGUGUUGGUCGCGGAGGACGGGGAACCAGUGGCAGGGAAGCCCAGCCUCUGCAUGCAAUGUCGACCUUAAUUAUAGAUGUUUCUGUGUUUGUUUUGGAUGAAGUGGACUGCUUGCUAGAGAGAGGAUUCAGAGAUUAGGCCAUGCAUAUCUUUGGCACGCUCUCAUGUCCACAGGUCAUGAUGUUUUCAGCAACAGUACAUUCAUAAAUUGUCAAACUCUGUCUUACACCAUGAUUGAUACAUGGAGUAUUUCUUGUGGGAACCUAGGUAAACCAAACAAAUCAAUUAGACAAGUGGUAAUUUGGGUGGAGUCUAAGCAGAAGCAGAAGAUUUUUGAGAUAAUGAAGAGUAAGCAGUACUUCAAACCUCCUGCUGUUGUAUUUGUGAGUUCUAGAGUUGGUGAUCUCUUGUCUGAAGCAAUUACUGCUGCUACUGGGUUGGAGUAAGUUCCAUUCAGGAUGAGAAAGCAAUGAAAAAGAUAAGAGAAAGAUUGAGACGGUUUCUCACUGGAGAAGUAUCUGUUGUUGUUUGUACACGGGUCUUGGGAUGUGGAAUGGAUCUUCUGAAACUACAUCAAGUUUUUGCUUGACAUGUCAAAUUCCAUUGAUGAAUAUAUUCACCAGUGACACAUUCAAGCAGUUGAGUUACAUUCAUAAAGGUGCUACUGCCAAGCCUGGAUUCGAUUGGAGAAUCCUCCAGUAGGAGCAGCGUCUGCCCACAACUGUUGUGGAUCGGGAAUGCAAGCCGGGUCGCCUCCACGUGGGCUAUUGUUGCAAGGUCACGGUGCUGCACCUCAGCUAAUUCAGUAGGGGUAGUUUAUUCCCUGUCCAAGUGUUUAUUAUUGAUCAUUGUCGCUUCAUCUGUUUAUUCUCAUCUAGCUCAUAUAUUUGGUGACUUUUUCAACGUUUGGCUAAUUCCUUUUUAUCUUUUGGAGCUUUGUGGUGAAGGCGAGAUGAAUUUAGAAGAGUUCAAUUUAGAGUCAGUGCAGUGUGUUGCCCGGAAAGAAAAUAGAUUGGUGCAGUGUCUCUCGCCUAUUGGACUCAGUCUAUUACGCUUACUAAAUAUAUACAUCUAUGUUGCAGAGAAUGGCCACAUGGAUGAUUAGCAUCUCUUCGCAAAUGCAUGUUAAUUCAGUGAAAAAGUACUACUGUAACUAUGACUAUGAGCGUAGAUGUCCACUCUUGAUUUUCCACUUUA